Long non-coding RNA from Pyrgilauda ruficollis (rufous-necked snowfinch), 284 nucleotides. RefSeq lists it as uncharacterized. The record is from RefSeq and is a predicted model, not a curated record. The transcript is spliced from 3 exons. Lineage: Eukaryota; Metazoa; Chordata; Aves; Passeriformes; Passeridae.
GGAGAUCUAUAACUCAAUUGGAAGGGAGCUGCUAAACACAAUGGCUCACAAAUCUUCAUCUAGGGCAGCAAUACUUACAAGUACUGUGGCAUGGAAGACUCCCUCGUUGCUUCCCUGCAGUGACAGUCAUGUGAUUGCCAGUUUCUGUCUGAAGCAAAGAAGAUGCUGCCCUCACUUCCACACCAAGUUUUGUCUGGUUUGUGAGGCCCCCCCAACCAUAAAUCAUUUCCAACCUGUCAGAAUGGAUCUGUGCUGGCAAGGAAACAAGGGUAAUGUUUCAAUUU